Non-coding RNA from Podarcis lilfordi (Lilford's wall lizard), 77 nucleotides. The record is from the annotation of a GenBank genome assembly. NCBI's taxonomy places the organism in Eukaryota, Metazoa, Chordata, Lepidosauria, Squamata, Lacertidae.
GAAGUAGCUCAGUUGGGUAGAGCAUGGUGCUGAUAAUGCUAAGGUCACAGGUUCAAUCCCUGUAUAGGACAGCUACA